GUGAGAGCAUGACCCCCACCACUGGGACUGAGAUACUGCCCAGACACCUACGGGUGGCUGCAGUCGAGAAUCUUCGGCAAUGGGCGCAAGCCUGACCGAGCGACGCCGCGUGUGGGAUGAAGGCCCUUGGGUUGUAAACCACUGUCAGAGGGGAUGAAGUGCAUGGGAGCCAUCUCCUGUGUUUGACAUAGCCUCAGAGGAAGCACGGGCUAAGUUCGUGCCAGCAGCCGCGGUAAUACGAACUGUGCGAACGUUAUUCGGAAUCACUGGGCUUACAGGGUGCGUAGGCGGCUUGUUAAGUAGGGUGUGAAAGCCCCCGGCUCAACCGGGGAAUUGCGCCCUAAACUGGCGAGCUAGAGUGAGAUAGGGGUAUGUGGAACUUCCGGUGGAGCGGUGAAAUGUGUUGAUAUCGGAAGGAACGCCGGUGGCGAAAGCGACAUACUGGAUCUUGUCUGACGCUGAGGCACGAAAGCCAGGGGAGCGAACGGGGUUAGAUACCCCGGUAGUCCUGGCUGUAAACGAUGAGCACUAGCUAGGAGGGGCGUAGGCCCUUCCUAACGGAGCGAAAGUGUUAAGUGCUCCGCCUGGGGGAGUAUGGUCGCAAGGCUG
Molecule: ribosomal RNA, 609 nt
Filed under: uncultured bacterium
Lineage: Bacteria
Description: bacterial SSU rRNA
Rfam family: Bacterial small subunit ribosomal RNA
Source: RNAcentral